This 497-nucleotide ribosomal RNA is filed under the name uncultured bacterium. RNAcentral's name for it is "partial 16S ribosomal RNA". It matches the Rfam family "Bacterial small subunit ribosomal RNA", at positions 28 to 507 of the family's 1533-position model. The record is from RNAcentral.
GAUGAACGCUGGCGGCGUGCCUAAUACAUGCAAGUCGAGCGAACAGACGAGGAGCUUGCUCCUCUGACGUUAGCGGCGGACGGGUGAGUAACACGUGGAUAACCUACCUAUAAGACUGGGAUAACUUCGGGAAACCGGAGCUAAUACCGGAUAAUAUAUUGAACCGCACGGUUCAAUAGUGAAAGACGGUUUUGCUGUCACUUAUAGAUGGAUCCGCGCCGCAUUAGCUAGUUGGUAAGGUAACGGCUUACCAAGGCAACGAUGCGUAGCCGACCUGAGAGGGUGAUCGGCCACACUGGAACUGAGACACGGUCCAGACUCCUACGGGAGGCAGCAGUAGGGAGUCUUCCGCAAUGGGCGAAAGCCUGACGGAGCAACGCCGCGUGAGUGAUGAAGGUCUUCGGAUCGUAAAACUCUGUUAUUAGGGAAGAACAAAUGUGUAAGUAACUAUGCACGUCUUGACGGUACCUAAUCAGAAAGCCACGGCUAACUACGUG